GUUGCUGUGGCCGAGUUGUUAAGGCGAUGGACUAGAAAUCCAUUGGGUUGUCCCUGCACAAGUUCGAAUCCUGUCAGCAACG
Molecule: non-coding RNA, 82 nt
Organism: Girardinichthys multiradiatus
Lineage: Eukaryota; Metazoa; Chordata; Actinopteri; Cyprinodontiformes; Goodeidae
Source: the annotation of a RefSeq genome assembly